RNAcentral lists this ribosomal RNA (819 nucleotides) under Streptococcus sanguinis. Its description in RNAcentral is "bacterial SSU rRNA". It matches the Rfam family "Bacterial small subunit ribosomal RNA", at positions 87 to 893 of the family's 1533-position model. Lineage: Bacteria; Bacillati; Bacillota; Bacilli; Lactobacillales; Streptococcaceae. The record is from RNAcentral.
UUGGAUGAGUUGCGAACGGGUGAGUAACGCGUAGGUAACCUGCCUGGUAGCGGGGGAUAACUAUUGGAAACGAUAGCUAAUACCGCAUGAUAUUGAAUAUCGCAUGAUAAUUAAUUGAAAGAUGCAACUGCAUCACUACCAGAUGGACCUGCGUUGUAUUAGCUAGUUGGUGAGGUAACGGCUCACCAAGGCGACGAUACAUAGCCGACCUGAGAGGGUGAUCGGCCACACUGGGACUGAGACACGGCCCAGACUCCUACGGGAGGCAGCAGUAGGGAAUCUUCGGCAAUGGGGGGAACCCUGACCGAGCAACGCCGCGUGAGUGAAGAAGGUUUUCGGAUCGUAAAGCUCUGUUGUAAGAGAAGAACGGGUGUGAGAGUGGAAAGUUCACACUGUGACGGUAUCUUACCAGAAAGGGACGGCUAACUACGUGCCAGCAGCCGCGGUAAUACGUAGGUCCCGAGCGUUGUCCGGAUUUAUUGGGCGUAAAGCGAGCGCAGGCGGUUAGAUAAGUCUGAAGUUAAAGGCUGUGGCUUAACCAUAGUAUGCUUUGGAAACUGUUUAACUUGAGUGCAGAAGGGGAGAGUGGAAUUCCAUGUGUAGCGGUGAAAUGCGUAGAUAUAUGGAGGAACACCGGUGGCGAAAGCGGCUCUCUGGUCUGUAACUGACGCUGAGGCUCGAAAGCGUGGGGAGCAAACAGGAUUAGAUACCCUGGUAGUCCACGCCGUAAACGAUGAGUGCUAGGUGUUAGGCCCUUUCCGGGGCUUAGUGCCGCAGCUAACGCAUUAAGCACUCCGCCUGGGGAGUACGACCGCAAGG